UACGUAGGGGGCAAGCGUUGUCCGGAUUUAUUGGGCGUAAAGAGCGUGUAGGCGGCUUUACAGGUCCGUUGUGAAAACUCGAGGCUCAACCUCGAGACGCCGGUGGAAACCGUAAGGCUAGAGUCCGGAAGAGGAGAGUGGAAUUCCUGGUGUAGCGGUGAAAUGCGCAGAUAUCAGGAAGAACACCCGUGGCGAAGGCGGCUCUCUGGGACGGUACUGACGCUGAGGUGCGAAAGCCAGGGGAGCAAACGGG
This 253-nucleotide ribosomal RNA is filed under the name uncultured bacterium. RNAcentral describes it as "partial 16S ribosomal RNA". It matches the Rfam family "Bacterial small subunit ribosomal RNA", at positions 524 to 776 of the family's 1533-position model. The record is from RNAcentral.